Molecule: long non-coding RNA, 885 nt
Filed under: Homo sapiens (human)
Lineage: Eukaryota; Metazoa; Chordata; Mammalia; Primates; Hominidae
Description: HSALNT0028892
Source: RNAcentral
CUAGAAAUCUUUUAAUGCAAGAGAAUGCUGUAGAAAGAACUCCCACCUGUGGUUCCUCACCACCCUCACCCCUUCCAAGUUACCCUCAGCUGCAACAGGCCAGAUCCCUUGUUCCAGGAAGGCUGGUUGGGAACAAGGGACCACCUGGAGUCAGCAGCUGAAUGGAUGCCUGAGGUUCAUGGAUUCUAAGACUUUUCCAAGCCCCCUUUCUGCUGCCACUGGAAUUGUCUCCCAGAAACACAGUUCAGACUGUUUGACUUCCCAAUUCUUUAGCAUCCAGGCUUUUCCUUGGUUAGGCCCCAGCCUACUUAUUCUCUCAUAUAAUCUGCACACCAGUCAUAUGAGGCUGCAGGUAACAGAAAGCAAACUCCAACUAAACUGAAGCAGUAAACAAGUGGAAGGACUCCGAGGUGGCUGACGAGCUUGACAAACAAGCUCACGGGCCCUCCCUCAAGGACUAGAAGGCAAGGCUGAAAACCAUCAGGACUCUGCCUCUCGCUGGAUGUCUGCUUCAUUCUCAAUUUUUUCCCAUGAGGUUGGAAUCAAGGUUGUCAGCCAUCACUGGGACUUCUUCCUUUCCUGAGAGAAAGUAUCUUCCUAGCUUCAGUUGGAGAGAUCCUAGGGAAGGACACCUAUGUGACCUAUUUGGGGUCACAUUCCUGUCCUGUGGACUGGUGUCUGUGACCAGGGAGGAAAGAUGGGAAAGAACUUGAACUUUGAGGCCGGGCGCAAUGGCUCAGCAGUGGCUCACGCCUGUAAUCCCAGCACUUUGGGAGGCCAAGGCAGGUGGAUCACGAGGUCAGGAGAUCGAGACCAGCCUGGCCAACAUGGCUAAAAUUACAAAAAUCUACUAAAAAUACAAAAAUUAGCCAGGUAUGGUGGCGG